AGAGUUUGAUCCUGGCUCAGGAUGAACGCUGGCGGCGUGCCUAACACAUGCAAGUCGAACGGGAACCUUGCGACGGAGACUUCGGUUGAAGAUGCAAGAAUUCUAGUGGCGGACGGGUGAGUAACGCGUGGGUAACCUGCCCUUAAGAGGCGAAUAACAGUGAGAAAUCACUGCUAAUACGCCAUAUGCUUACGGAAUCGCAUGAUUUUGUGAGGAAAAGAAUUUCGCUUAAGGAUGGACCCGCGUUUGAUUAGCCAGUUGGUAGGUAACGGCCUACCAAAGCAACGAUCAAUAGCCGGCCUGAGAGGGUGAACGGCCACAUUGGAACUGAGACACGGUCCAAACUCCUACGGGAGGCAGCAGUGGGGAAUAUUGGGCAAUGGGCGAAAGCCUGACCCAGCAACGCCGCGUGAGGGAAGAAGGUUUUCGGAUUGUAAACCUCUGUCCUAAAGGACGAAGGAAGUGACGGUACUUUAGGAGGAAGCCCCGGCUAACUACGUGCCAGCCGCCGC
RNAcentral lists this ribosomal RNA (512 nucleotides) under uncultured bacterium. RNAcentral describes it as "bacterial SSU rRNA". It matches the Rfam family "Bacterial small subunit ribosomal RNA", at positions 8 to 518 of the family's 1533-position model. The record is from RNAcentral.